GUUCACAGACUCUUAAGCUCUUUCAUGCCUCAAAGUUGAAGCAGCCUAAGACAGUUUCAUACACAACAGAAGUGAGCCUUCCAGAAUAUUUUCGUAUCCCCAAGAAAAUCUACAUUCCUCAGAUUCCAAAACCUCAAACUAAAUUGACUAAAUCUCAAGGAAUUAAACCUGCAAAAGAAAGAGAUUCAGAUCGAUCUGUUCCAGUUCCUUUAGAGUUUAUUCCUCUCCUUCCUGGACGCUACCCUUGUAAAAUUUUAUUGCAGUCAAGAUAUGAUGUGCGUGCCUAUUAUGUUGAAGGUAUUGUGAAUGAAGAACAACCAGAGGCCAGCUUCAAAUUCGAAACACCAGCAUUUGAAGCUCUUACUCAGAAUAUUCCAAUAAAAAAUCAAACAAUGAAUGAAUGGAAAUUUCAAGUUACUAUAGAAGGAGAAUGGUUUUAUGGACCUACUUUUUUAUGUGUUCGAUCAGGUGAAACUGUGAAAUAUCCUCUCACAUUCAAACCUAUUUUGGAAUGUGUCAUUAUGGGUAAACUUAUUCUACAAAAUGAAGUAAAUGGUAUGGAGCACAUCUUUGACAUAAAAGGGGUUGGAAAAAAACCUGCAGCCUUGGACCACAUCACUGUGAAAUGUCAAGUAGGCAAUGAGACAAAAAGACGUAUAAUAUUGCCUGAUUUUGCAACUACUGCCCUAACAUUUAAGGUGACUACAGAUCUUCCGAUAGUGUGGGGAAAUCCAGAGAUUACCAUAUACCCGUAUAAACAAAUUCCAUACAUUCUACAUGUGCACCCUUGGAAACGUGGUAUAAUGAAAGGUACAAUUAUAUUUUCUUUUAUAAGAAAGAAAUGUGAUGAUUGUGAGGAAGACACAGAUCAAGAUCAAGCAACCUCCUUUCUUGAUUCAAUAACAGAACAAUCUAGCACUUUUGAUUCUGGAGACCCAGAUGAUAAAUUUAGCAAUUUAAGAAUCUACUAUAAUCUUGAGAUCCACAGCACUCCUGGACCACCCAUAGACAUUAUGGAAAUGGCAUGUAGGGCUUUGAAUACGACUUGUAUUGAAAUACCAAUCUCCAAUCCAAAAAAUCACGUUCUUCGCUUAGAUGUACAGUUAAUGAGUGCUGCCCUUGAUGGUGAUAGUGAAAUAAUCCUGAGCCCACUACAGUGCACCAGCUAUAUUUUAUGGUACUCUCCAGCAAGAACAGGCCAUAGUGAUGAAAGCAUUAUUUUUCAGCCUGAAAUGGCUGAUGAGUUCUGGUAUUUACUGAAACUAACUAUUGAAUUACCAAAACCAAUCACAAUGUCAGAAGUAGAGUGCGACCUUGGCAAGUAUGUCACUCAGAUCAUUCCCUUAGCUAAUACUACACAUGAAACCUUAGAACUGCAAGCAACAAACAGUAAUCCUGAAAAUUUUGUCCUGGAUCUUGACAUGAAAUCACAACUGAUCAUAACUCCUCACUCCACCAGGGAGUUAUCUGUUCACUUUUACCCUUCUGCACUUGGAAGAGCUCAUCAUCAAGCUUGCAUCAACUUCCACUGUACUCAGGUCUGGAACAUCCCAGGCAUCUUGUCAUUAAUCCUUGCUGGGAUAACUUCAUCUGUGAGAAUUCUGCCUUCCGAUUUAGUUCUUUGCAUCAAACGCAAGAAAAUGGUUAAGGUAGGUAGGCAAAUUUUACUCUUUCAAUUCAUCUAUAUAGUGCUUUUUUGCUAUGUAAUGAAAACUUAAUUUGAUUGCUCCUCACUUAAUUAGCCAAUUUCCACUUUUUUGGUUAAAUAAUAAUAAUAAUUUUGUUGCUAUUUAAGUUUGAAGUGUGACUUAUC
RNAcentral lists this long non-coding RNA (1813 nucleotides) under Aotus nancymaae (Ma's night monkey). RNAcentral's name for it is "lncRNA (ENSANAG00000039014.1)". The record is from RNAcentral. Lineage: Eukaryota; Metazoa; Chordata; Mammalia; Primates; Aotidae.